GGGGGGAGGCCGGAUCCCGGGCUGUGUCCCGGCGCCCUGUGCUCUGGGGCCUGCGCUGUUGGAUUUGUGCUCCCGCCCCGCAGCCCCCU
This 89-nucleotide microRNA precursor is filed under the name Canis lupus familiaris (dog). Its description in RNAcentral is "mir-8799 microRNA precursor family". It matches the Rfam family "mir-8799 microRNA precursor family". Lineage: Eukaryota; Metazoa; Chordata; Mammalia; Carnivora; Canidae. The record is from Rfam by way of RNAcentral.